Long non-coding RNA from Daphnia magna, 996 nucleotides. RefSeq lists it as uncharacterized. The record is from RefSeq and is a predicted model, not a curated record. The transcript is spliced from 2 exons. Lineage: Eukaryota; Metazoa; Arthropoda; Branchiopoda; Diplostraca; Daphniidae.
UAGACACCCUGUGUCUAUUGGUUGGAUCAAGCAAAGUCUGCAGCAAGUUUCGGCUAUCCCCCGCCAUGGUGCGCACUAGUCGACUAGCCGCACCGACUUUUCCCUCUACUUACACGAACCAAAUGGAAAAACCUCUAUACGGAGUCCUUAUUCACCAUCCCAAUACCGAUGUAAAUUUGGUUGAAAUGGUGAAAUGUAAUGAUGAAAAUAUUACUUAGUGGACACAAAUCUUUUUCCAAGAGGUGAUUUUCUACACUUACUGGAAUUCUUUAACUAAAAGUUAAGGAUUCUAAGAUACUCUUAAUUAAAAAAUACAAGGAAACCCUGUUUUUGCUUAAUCUUGUAUUUAGGUUUACGAAGCAGUAGCAGUAGCGAGCGCCAGAUGGUGUCGUCGUAACCCUUGUUUUUCCUCUGAUUAGUUGUUGCCAGGUAACGCGUCCCCGCCAUAGGAGGUAUACGAGUUUACAGGCCUUAAGCAUUUAGUAGGCCUUGAGUAGACGUACUACCUCUAAACUAUUAUACCAUGAUCCCCUCUAUGACUCUGAUAGGAAUGUUAAAGAACAAAUUUCAAAACGGGCAAGUAGUAGGAUUUUUCAGGCAACAACUUCAGCUCAACAAGAUCUCUUGCAAUUCACAUGACAGAAAGAAUUAAAGAAUUAGAUACAUUGUAGUUUGCACACCAAUGUCUUUCCAAGCAACCAAAGGUUCGAGCACUGUUAACCAACAACAAAUAUCUCUAGAAAAAAUGUCUGAACUCUUACUAUCUCAUUGUAUUGUUCUCAUCUCCUUCGGACAACUCUACCAGUAUGGUUCAUGAUAGGCUUUUGUCUAAGAACUGAUCUUUCAUUCAGGUAGAAUUUUGCAAGCUUGCAUCUGAUUUUCUUUAUGUGUUCAUUUUGCAGAAGAAGGAAAAUUUCUAAGCAGAAAUAAAUUUUGUAUUUAAAUGGAUACACAAAGACACACAUUUGGUUUUAGAUAAUAAAACAUUGAUGCAGA